UACGGGGGGGGUAAGCGUUGUUCGGAAUUACUGGGCGUAAAGGGCUCGUAGGCGGCCAACUAAGUCAUACGUGAAAUCCCUCAGCUUAACUGGGGAACUGCGUCUGAUACUGGAUGGCUUGGAUUCGGGAGAGGAAUGCGGAAUUCCAGGUGUAGCGGUGAAAUUCGUAGAUAUUAGGAAGAACACCAGUGGCGAAGGCGGCUCACUGGUCCGGUACUGACGCUGAGGUGCGAAAGCGUGGGGAGCAAACAGG
Molecule: ribosomal RNA, 253 nt
Filed under: uncultured bacterium
Lineage: Bacteria
Description: partial 16S ribosomal RNA
Rfam family: Bacterial small subunit ribosomal RNA
Source: RNAcentral